This 500-nucleotide ribosomal RNA is filed under the name uncultured bacterium. Its description in RNAcentral is "partial 16S ribosomal RNA". It matches the Rfam family "Bacterial small subunit ribosomal RNA", at positions 30 to 523 of the family's 1533-position model. The record is from RNAcentral.
AUUGAACGCUGGCGGAAUGCUUUACACAUGCAAGUCGAACGGCAGCACGGACUUCGGUCUGGUGGCGAGUGGCGAACGGGUGAGUAAUGUAUCGGAACGUGCCCAGUCGUGGGGGAUAACGUAGUGAAAAUUACGCUAAUACCGCAUACGAUCUAUGGAUGAAAGCGGGGGAGCGCAAGACCUAGCGCGAUCGGAGCGCACGAUAUAAGAUUAGGUAGUUGGGGGGGUAAAGGCCCACCAAGCCAACGAUCUGUAGCUGGUCUGAGAGGACGACCAGCCACACUGGAACUGAGACACGGUCCAGACUCCUACGGGAGGCAGCAGUGGGGAAUUUUGGACAAUGGGCGAAAGCCUGAUCCAGCCAUUCCGCGUGCAGGAUGAAGGCCCUCGGGUUGUAAACUGCUUUUGUACAGAACGAAAAGGUUUCUACUAAUACUAGGAGCUCAUGACGGUACUGUAAGAAUAAGCACCGGCUAACUACGUGCCAGCAGCCGCCGUAA